AAUACAAACGUCUUCUUCUUCUUCUUCUUCUUUAAUAUAUUAGGGCAACAGAGCAGUUCAUUCUGGAGUGAUUGAUUACAACCUGAUAGAUGAAGAUGUCAAGGCACUGCAAAAAAUUGACACCAACACGAAGAAGCCAGACACAGAAGUAUGGAUUCAUAUUUUUACAGCACGGAGUACAGAUCAUCUCGAAAGAGUUUUCCAGCAGUAUAAAGAAUACAGCAACCAGGAUAUCGAAGCCACCAUUAAAAAGCUGUACACUGGGGAUGUCUGCAAGUGCCUCACUGCUCUCGUUUGUGCCAUUCAGAAUACACCUCUUUACCUUGCAGAGGUUGUACACAAUUCUUUAAAGGGAUUAGGAAAAAAAGACAAGCCCCUUAUCCGCACUCUUGUAUCCCGCAGUGAAAAAGACUUGCUGAGUAUCCGUGCGGAGUUUCGCAAAAAGUAUGGAAGAUCCCUCUACUCAAGCAUUGAGGAGGCAACUGAUGGGACUUACCAAACAGCUUUACUAUCCAUCUGCAGCGCUGAAGACAUUUAACCUGCACUUACAGCUCUGGAUCCUGAGGACGACCGCAGUCUCCACCUAACGGUAUUCAGAAACUGAAGAGGACUUAGUCAUUUAUUGACAUUCACAGCAUCGGAGUUCUUUACUUUGUAUCAGUUAAUCCUUAAUGUGAAUAAAAAUUCUGCUUAAAAGGCA
Long non-coding RNA from Polypterus senegalus (gray bichir), 700 nucleotides. RefSeq lists it as uncharacterized. The transcript has 6 exons. The record is from RefSeq and is a predicted model, not a curated record. Lineage: Eukaryota; Metazoa; Chordata; Cladistia; Polypteriformes; Polypteridae.